ACUUCACAUGUUUUCACUUAUUUGUGGGAGCUAAAUAUUAAAAAAGUGAAGUAUGAAUGCUUGGUUAUUAUAGGACUGUGAAGUUUAAAAUGAUUCAGAAAAGGGGACAGUUUGUACAAUGUUCUAUCUCAUACUGGAAUCUCUUUUCUUGUAACCCCAAAUGAAUAUCUUAUUUGAUUAUGUCAAUGGAUUAUUUAUCCAUAACUCUCAAGGGGUUAUCCCUACAGGAGACUCACUCCCACAAGGGCCUGGAGAGCCAUGCUAAAGCACUGAAUUA
RNAcentral lists this long non-coding RNA (277 nucleotides) under Pan troglodytes (chimpanzee). Its description in RNAcentral is "long non-coding RNA NONPTRT009970". Lineage: Eukaryota; Metazoa; Chordata; Mammalia; Primates; Hominidae. The record is from RNAcentral.